Capsicum annuum is the source of this 107-nucleotide non-coding RNA. The record is from Rfam. Lineage: Eukaryota; Viridiplantae; Streptophyta; Magnoliopsida; Solanales; Solanaceae.
UAUUGGUGAUGUGGACAAUCCUAAAGUAGAGCCUUGAAACUUUUCCAAGCAUGAUAAAGGUUUUCAUCAGGUUUUUGUUUAAAGCUCACUAUCUCACUGCGAAGUCU